CUCCAGACUCCUACGGGAGGCAGCAGUGAGGAAUAUUGGUCAAUGGCCGCAGGGCUGAACCAGCCAAGUCGCGUGAGGGAUGACGGUCCUAUGGAUUGUAAACCUCUUUUGUCAGGGAGCAAAGGGCGCCACGUGUGGCGCUUUGCGAGUACCUGAAGAAAAAGCAUCGGCUAACUCCGUGCCAGCAGCCGCGGCAAUACGGAGGAUGCGAGCGUUAUCCGGAUUUAUUGGGUUUAAAGGGUGCGCAGGCGGAAUGUCAAGUCAGCGGUAAAAUUUCGGGGCUCAACCCCGUCGUGCCGUUGAAACUGGCGUUCUUGAGUGAGCGAGAAGUAUGCGGAAUGCGUGGUGUAGCGGUGAAAUGCAUAGAUAUCACGCAGAACUCCGAUUGCGAAGGCAAGUGUCCGGGGUGCAACUGACGCUGAGGCUCGAAAGUGCGGGUAUCAAACAGGAUUAGAUACCCGAGUA
This 465-nucleotide ribosomal RNA is filed under the name uncultured bacterium. Its description in RNAcentral is "bacterial SSU rRNA". It matches the Rfam family "Bacterial small subunit ribosomal RNA", at positions 329 to 792 of the family's 1533-position model. The record is from RNAcentral.